This 878-nucleotide ribosomal RNA is filed under the name uncultured archaeon. RNAcentral's name for it is "bacterial SSU rRNA". It matches the Rfam family "Archaeal small subunit ribosomal RNA", at positions 1 to 873 of the family's 1478-position model. The record is from RNAcentral.
UCCGGUUGAUCCUGCCGGAGGCCACUGCUAUUGGGGUUCGGCUAAGCCAUGCGAGUGGUGGGCGUUCCGAAAGGGAUGGCCCCGCACACGGCUCAGUAACACGUAGUUAACCUGCCCUCGGGACGGGAGCAACGCCGGGAAACUGGCGAUAAUUCCAGAUAGGUGGGGGACGCUGGAAUGCCUCCUUGCCUAAAUCCUCUGGGGCCCGAGGAUGGGACUGCGGCCUAUCAGGCUGUUGGCGGUGUAACGGACCACCAAACCUACAACGGGUACGGGCGAUGGGAGUCGGAGCCCGGAGAUGGGGACUGAGACAAGGCCCCAGGCCCUACGGGGCGCAGCAGGUACGAAAACUCCGCAAUGCGCGAAAGCGUGACGGGGGAACCCCAAGUGCCGUUGGUCUUUGAUCGACGGCUUUUAGGGAGUCUAAGAAGCUCCCAGAAUAAGGGCUGGGCAAGUCGGGUGCCAGCCGCCGCGGUAAUACCCGCAGCCCAAGUGGUGGUCGCGAUUAUUGGGCCUAAAGCGCUCGUAGCCGGGUCAGCAAGUCCCUUGUGAAAUCGGGCGGCCUAACCGUUCGGCUUGCAAGGGAUACUGUUGGUCUUGAGGCCGGGAGACGUCUGAGGUACUCCGGGGGUAGCGGUAAAAUGCUGUAAUCCUCGGGGGACCACCAGUGGCGAAGGCGUCAGACGAGAACGGACCUGACGGUGAGGGGCGAAGGCUAGGGGAGCGAACGGGAUUAGAUACCCCGGUAGUCCUAGCUGUAAAGCAUGCGGGCCAGGUGUCUGGUGUUCCUUGAGAGCACCAAGUGCCGGAGGGAAGCCGUUAAGCCCGCCGCCUGGGAAGUACGGUCGCAAGGCUGAAACUUAAAGGAAUUGGCGGGA